RNAcentral lists this long non-coding RNA (1328 nucleotides) under Ananas comosus (pineapple). Its description in RNAcentral is "long non-coding RNA (ACOM_LNC011809)". Lineage: Eukaryota; Viridiplantae; Streptophyta; Magnoliopsida; Poales; Bromeliaceae. The record is from RNAcentral.
AUAUAUAUACUACUUAUAAAAGCGUGAGUUUUAAAUUUUUUUUCCUUUCCAAAAAUAUCUCUAUCUUUUUUACUAAUAUUUUCAUGUCGAGUAAUUUUCAACCAUUUAUUUGAAAUAAAUCUUCAAAUAAUAAUUUAUUCUCAAAUAUAGAUUUAAAUUUCUACCAUUGGAUAUCAUAAUAAAAGUAUCUGUCUCUUUUGUUGACGAAAAUACCCUACAUAUUCGUUAUCUCUUAUCUACGCGUUUCUCAAAUAUUUUCUUCCCCUACACAUCCGUUAUCUCCUAUUUACGCAUUUAUCAAAUAUUUUUUUCCUACCCACCAAUCAUGUAAUAGGUCAAAUUAAAUUUAUCUCAAAUCUAACGUAAUAUCUGCUAAUCAUAUAAUACAUAAAAUUAAAUUUAUCUCCUAUCUAACAUAAUACCCGCCAAUCAAAUCAUGUAAUAUGUAAAAUUAAAUUUAUCUCAUAUCCACCAUUUUUCUCAAAUAUUUUCUUUCUCAAACGUAAUACACGCCAAUCAUGCAGUACUCAAAAUUAAAUUUUAAAUUUCUAAUGGCCACCAAUUUGAUAAUUUACAUUUUAAUUCAUAAUAGUAAAUUUUCUUAUAUGAGAUAGUAGAUUUAAUUUUGAUGAGUAUUAAAAUUUGUCGCGCCAUAGAAACGUUAAAUAUUGCUAAAAAAAUUUUAAUACCCGCCCAAUCAAAACUAAAUCGUUAAUUAAAUAUAAUUUUUAAUAUCUAUACUACUUAUAAAAGCAUGAGUUUUAAAUUUUUUUCUCUUACCAAAAAUAUCUCUAUCUUUUUUACUAAUAUUUUAAUGUCCAGUAAUUUUUAACCAUUCAUUUUAAAUAAAUCUUCAAAUAAUAAUUUAUUCUCAAAUAUAGAUUUAAAUUUUUACUAUUGGAUCUCAUCCAACGAAAUAAAUCUUCAAAUAAUAAUUUAUUUUCAAAUAUAAAUUUAUAUUUUUACUAUUGGAUCUCAUCCAACGAAUAAAAAUAAAAGUAUCUGUCACUUUUGUUGACAAAAAUAUCCUACAUAUUCGUUAUCUCUUAUCUACGCGUUUCUCAAAUAUUUUCUUCCUAUCCGCCAAUCAUGUAAUACGUAAAAUUAAAUUUAUCUUAAAUCUAACGUAAUAUCUGCCAAUCAUAUCUCCUAUCUAGCAUAAUACCCGCCAAUCAUGUAAUAUGUAAAAUUAAAUUUAUCUUAUAGCCACGCGUUUUCUCAAAUAUUUUCUUUCUCAAAUGUAAUACUCGACAAUCACGUAGUACUCAAAAUUAAAUUUUAAAUUUGUAAUGCCUGCCAAUUUGAUAAUUUACAUUUUAAUUCAUAAU